Molecule: long non-coding RNA, 477 nt
Organism: Xenopus laevis (African clawed frog)
Lineage: Eukaryota; Metazoa; Chordata; Amphibia; Anura; Pipidae
Exons: 5
Source: RefSeq, a predicted model, not a curated record
CAAAAUCUGAACUGUCCUGCGAAAAACGGAACAGUUGGGAGGUCUUACCACUGGUAACAUCCUGAUCCUGCCUGUGCUACAUACUGUCAUUGGCCUUCCUUGUUCCCAAUACACAGAAGAUUUCUUGUUGUUAUCUCUCUAAGGAACCACAGAACUGAGCAGGAAAGCUUCAAGAGAUGCUUCCUGCUUCUCUAAUGUACAGGUAUAGGAUCUGUUAUCCGAAAACAUGUUAUCCAGAAAGCUGGAAGAUCAUCUCCCAUGGACUCCAUAUUACUUAAGAAGCCGAUUGGUCGGUGAAACGCAUCGGAAGUGACGUCACAGGCAGGCUACGGGGAGAACACCACGAGGGAGAGAGACGCCAGCACAACCUCCUCCUUUGCAUUACAGCUGGGGAUACCGCCAGCAUAUACUUGCCUAUAUGUGACAACCUUACAAACAAAUGUAUGAAGAUCCAAAUUACGGAAAAAUCCAUUAUCC